This 256-nucleotide non-coding RNA is filed under the name Anaerostipes sp. RNAcentral describes it as "T-box sequence". It matches the Rfam family "T-box leader". Rfam says of the family: Uncharged tRNA acts as the effector for transcription antitermination of genes in the T-box leader family. T-boxes are found upstream of many aminoacyl-tRNA synthetase genes and some amino acid biosynthetic genes usually in Gram-positive bacteria. Lineage: Bacteria; Bacillati; Bacillota; Clostridia; Lachnospirales; Lachnospiraceae. The record is from RNAcentral.
CCAAAUACGUUGAUAAGGAAUAGUAGAAUUUUUUGAUUACCCAGAGAGCUGCUGGUCGGUGUGAAGCAGUUAUGAGAGAAAUUUGAACUCGCCUUUGAGUAGCUCGCUGAACUAAUAGUAGGUGGAGCCGGAUGCUGACCGUUAUCUGACAGAGAGAUAUAAAACUUUACAGUUCGUAUCGAGAAGAGUGCAUACAUAUGAUUUAUGUGUGAAUUAGAGUGGUACCACGGAAGAUAUUUUAUCCUUCGUCUCUUAU